This 799-nucleotide ribosomal RNA is filed under the name uncultured Pelagibacteraceae bacterium. RNAcentral's name for it is "bacterial SSU rRNA". It matches the Rfam family "Bacterial small subunit ribosomal RNA", at positions 34 to 880 of the family's 1533-position model. The record is from RNAcentral. Lineage: Bacteria; Pseudomonadati; Pseudomonadota; Alphaproteobacteria; Candidatus Pelagibacterales; Candidatus Pelagibacteraceae.
CGCUGGCGGCACGCCUUAUACAUGCAAGUCGAACGCAGUAGCAAUACUGAGUGGCAAACGGGUGAGUAUAAUGUGGGUAUCUGCCUUUUGGUUUGGAAUAACAUGAGGAAACUUGUGCUAAUACCGGAUAAGCCUUCACAGGGAAAGUUUUAUACGCCGAAAGAUGAGCCCGCACUUGAUUAGUUUGUUGGUGAGGUAAUGGCUCACCAAGACAAUUAUCAAUAGCUGGUCUGAGAGGACGAUCAGCCACAUUGGGACUGAGACACGGCCCAGACUCCUACGGGAGGCAGCAGUAAGGAAUCUUGCACAAUGGGGGAAACCCUGAUGCAGCGAUGCCGCGUGAGUGAAGAAGGCCCUUGGGUUGUAAAACUCUUUCGUCGGGGAAGAAAAUGACUGUACCCGAAUAAGAAGGUCCGGCUAACUUCGUGCCAGCAGCCGCGGUAAUACGAAGGGACCUAGCGUAGUUCGGAAUUACUGGGCUUAAAGAGCUCGUAGGUGGUUAAAAAAGUUGAUGGUGAAAUCCCAAGGCUCAACCUUGGAACUGCCAUCAAAACUUUUUAGCUAGAGUGUGAUAGAGGAAAGUGGAAUUUCUAGUGUAGAGGUGAAAUUCGUAGAUAUUAGAAAGAACACCAAAUGCGAAGGCAACUUUCUGGGUCACUACUGACACUGAGGAGCGAAAGCAUGGGUAGCGAAGAGGAUUAGAUACCCUCGUAGUCCAUGCCGUAAACGAUGUGUGCUAGACGUUGGAAAUAUAUUUUUCAGUGUCGCAGCGAAAGCAUUAAGCACACCGCCUGGGGAG